Molecule: ribosomal RNA, 253 nt
Filed under: uncultured bacterium
Lineage: Bacteria
Description: partial 16S ribosomal RNA
Rfam family: Bacterial small subunit ribosomal RNA
Source: RNAcentral
GACGAACCGAGCGAACGUUGUUCGGAAUCACUGGGCUUAAAGGGCGCGUAGGCGGGUGCUCAAGUCCGGGGUGAAAUCCCUCAGCUUAACUGGGGAACUGCGUCUGAUACUGGAUGGCUUGAGUUUGGGAGAGGGAUGCGGAAUUCCAGGUGUAGCGGUGAAAUGCGUAGAUAUCUGGAGGAACACCGGUGGCGAAGGCGGCAUCCUGGACCAAUACUGACACUGAGGAGCGAAAGCCAGGGGAGCAAACGGG